GAUGAACGCUGGCGGCGUGCCUAAUACAUGCAAGUCGAGCGAACAGAUGAGGAGCUUGCUCCUCUGACGUUAGCGGCGGACGGGUGAGUAACACGUGGAUAACCUACCUAUAAGACUGGGAUAACUUCGGGAAACCGGAGCUAAUACCGGAUAACAUAUUGAACCGCAUGGUUCAAUAGUGAAAGACGGUUUUGCUGUCACUUAUAGAUGGAUCCGCGCCGCAUUAGCUAGUUGGUAAGGUAACGGCUUACCAAGGCAACGAUGCGUAGCCGACCUGAGAGGGUGAUCGGCCACACUGGAACUGAGACACGGUCCAGACUCCUACGGGAGGCAGCAGUAGGGAAUCUUCCGCAAUGGGCGAAAGCCUGACGGAGCAACGCCGCGUGAGUGAUGAAGGUCUUCGGAUCGUAAAACUCUGUUAUUAGGGAAGAACAAAUGUGUAAGUAACUAUGCACGUCUUGACGGUACCUAAUCAGAAAGCCACGGCUAACUACG
RNAcentral lists this ribosomal RNA (495 nucleotides) under uncultured bacterium. Its description in RNAcentral is "partial 16S ribosomal RNA". It matches the Rfam family "Bacterial small subunit ribosomal RNA", at positions 28 to 505 of the family's 1533-position model. The record is from RNAcentral.